GUCAGGAUGGCCGAGCGGUCUAAGGCGCCAGACUCAAGGAUAACCUUCCCUGUAUGACGGGGUUGAGUGUUCUGGUCCACGAAUGUGGGCGUGGGUUCGAAUCCCACUUCUGACA
RNAcentral lists this transfer RNA (115 nucleotides) under Stegodyphus mimosarum. It matches the Rfam family "tRNA". Rfam says of the family: Transfer RNA (tRNA) molecules are approximately 80 nucleotides in length. Lineage: Eukaryota; Metazoa; Arthropoda; Arachnida; Araneae; Eresidae. The record is from Rfam by way of RNAcentral.